RNAcentral lists this ribosomal RNA (1406 nucleotides) under metagenome. Its description in RNAcentral is "bacterial SSU rRNA". It matches the Rfam family "Bacterial small subunit ribosomal RNA". The record is from RNAcentral.
GUGGCGAACGGGUGAGUAAUGUAUCGGAACGUACCAUUCAGUGGGGGAUAACGUAGCGAAAGUUACGCUAAUACCGCAUAUUCUGUGAGCAGGAAAGCAGGGGAUCGCAAGACCUUGCGCUGAUUGAGCGGCCGAUAUCAGAUUAGCUAGUUGGUGAGGUAAAGGCCCACCAAGGCGACGAUCUGUAGCGGGUCUGAGAGGAUGAUCCGCCACACUGGAACUGAGACACGGUCCAGACUCCUACGGGAGGCAGCAGUGGGGAAUUUUGGACAAUGGGGGCAACCCUGAUCCAGCCAUGCCGCGUGAGUGAAGAAGGCCUUCGGGUUGUAAAGCUCUUUCGGCCGGGAAAAAAUCGCAUAGGUUAAUACCCUGUGUGGAUGAUGGUACCGGAAUAAGAAGCACCGGCUAACUACGUGCCAGCAGCCGCGGUAAUACGUAGGGUGCGAGCGUUAAUCGGAAUUACUGGGCGUAAAGCGUGCGCAGGCGGUUUGAUAAGACAGGCGUGAAAUCCCCGGGCUCAACCUGGGAACUGCGUUUGUGACUGUCUCACUAGAGUACGGCAGAGGGGGGUGGAAUUCCACGUGUAGCAGUGAAAUGCGUCGAGAUGUGGAGGAACACCAAUGGCGAAGGCAGCCCCCUGGGUCGAUACUGACGCUCAUGCACGAAAGCGUGGGUAGCAAACAGGAUUAGAUACCCUGGUAGUCCACGCCCUAAACGAUGUCAACUAGGUGUUGGGAGGGUAAAACCUUUUAGUACCGUAGCUAACGCGAGAAGUUGACCGCCUGGAGUACGGCCGCAAGGUUAAAACUCAAAGGAAUUGACGGGGACCCGCACAAGCGGUGGAUGAUGUGGAUUAAUUCGAUGCAACGCGAAAAACCUUACCUACCCUUGACAUGUUCAGGAGUCCGAAGAGAUUUGGAUGUGCUCGAAAGAGAACUGGAACACAGGUGCUGCAUGGCUGUCGUCAGCUCGUGUCGUGAGAUGUUGGGUUAAGUCCCGCAACGAGCGCAACCCUUGUCGUUAAUUGCCAUCAUUAAGUUGGGCACUUUAACGAGACUGCCGGUGACAAACCGGAGGAAGGUGGGGAUGACGUCAAGUCCUCAUGGCCCUUAUGGGUAGGGCUUCACACGUCAUACAAUGGUCGGUACAAAGGGUUGCCAACCCGCGAGGGGGAGCUAAUCCCAUAAAGCCGAUCGUAGUCCGGAUCGCAGGCUGCAACUCGCCUGCGUGAAGUCGGAAUCGCUAGUAAUCGUGGAUCAGCAUGUCACGGUGAAUACGUUCCCGGGUCUUGUACACACCGCCCGUCACACCAUGGGAGCGGGUUCCGCCAGAAGUAGGUAGCCUAACCGCAAGGAGGGCGCUUACCACGGCGGGGUUCGUGACUGGGGUGAAGUCGUAACAAGGUA